RNAcentral lists this ribosomal RNA (645 nucleotides) under uncultured bacterium. RNAcentral's name for it is "SSU rRNA". It matches the Rfam family "Bacterial small subunit ribosomal RNA", at positions 257 to 915 of the family's 1533-position model. The record is from RNAcentral.
GUAAAGGCUUACCAAGGCGACGAUCGGUAGCUGGUCUGAGAGGAUGAUCAGCCACACUGGGACUGAGACACGGCCCAGACUCCUACGGGAGGCAGCAGUAGGGAAUAUUGCACAAUGGACGAAAGCCUGAUGCAGCGACGCCGCGUGAGUGAUGAAGGCCUUCGGGUUGUAAAGCUCUGUUCUCAGGGAAUAAAAAAAUGAAGGUACCUGAGGAGAAAGGACCGGCUAACUUCGUGCCAGCAGCCGCGGUAAUACGAGGGGUCCAAGCGUUGCUCGGAAUCAUUGGGCGUAAAGCGGGUGUAGGUGGCUUUGUAAGUCAGGAGUGAAAGCCCUAGGCUCAACCUAGGAAGUGCUUUUGAUACUGCGAAGCUUGAAUGUGGGAGAGGAUCGUGGAAUUCCAGGUGUAGUGGUGAAAUACGUAGAUAUCUGGAGGAACACCGGUGGCGAAGGCGGCGAUCUGGCCCAACAUUGACACUCAGACCCGAAAGUGCGGGGAUCAAACAGGAUUAGAUACCCUGGUAGUCCGCACCGUAAACGAUGGAUACUUGGUGUUGGAGGUAUUGACCCCUUCAGUGCCGAAGCUAACGCGUUAAGUAUCCCGCCUGGGAAGUACGGCCGCAAGGUUAAAACUCAAAGGAAUUGACG